ACGUUAGCGGCGGACGGGUGAGUAACACGUGGGUAACCUACCUAUAAGACUGGAUGACUUCGGGAAACCGGAGCUAAUACCGGAUAAUAUUUCGAACCGCAUGGUUCGAUAGUGAAAGAUGGUUUUGCUAUCACUUAUAGAUGGACCCGCGCCGUAUUAGCUAGUUGGUAAGGUAACGGCUUACCAAGGCGACGAUACGUAGCCGACCUGAGAGGGUGAUCGGCCACACUGGAACUGAGACACGGUCCAGACUCCUACGGGAGGCAGCAGCC
This 272-nucleotide ribosomal RNA is filed under the name uncultured Staphylococcus sp. RNAcentral's name for it is "partial 16S ribosomal RNA". It matches the Rfam family "Bacterial small subunit ribosomal RNA", at positions 89 to 355 of the family's 1533-position model. The record is from RNAcentral. Lineage: Bacteria; Bacillati; Bacillota; Bacilli; Caryophanales; Staphylococcaceae.